Molecule: non-coding RNA, 3207 nt
Organism: Saimiri boliviensis boliviensis (Bolivian squirrel monkey)
Lineage: Eukaryota; Metazoa; Chordata; Mammalia; Primates; Cebidae
Source: RefSeq, a predicted model, not a curated record
ACUCGCCUAGGAAGUGGUAGGAUUGAGAUUUGAAUCUGGAAGCCUUACAUGAGGGUUUUUCACUCGACCAACUAUACUACACCUUUGAAAGUCCCUUUUCCCCCAAAGACUUCCAGAAAGAAAGCUUUGUAUCCUCUUUUAGGGUACGUUUUUGUCUCCAAAAUUUCCCUUAUACCAAUGAAUUAAAAAAAAAUGACUUGACUUCAGGUUCCAGGUGCUUGGAUUUAUUCUUCUUAAAAUAUCUCUGAGUAGUGGGAUACAAAUUUUCCCACCCUUCCUCUCAUGAAGCUGUGUAGACAGGCCACAAAGGAAAAGAGCAACUGACUCUCUCAUUGCUACAUGACUUGACCAUGUCACCAACACCUGUGUCAAAAUGAAGUUUCACCAGAUGCAGUCAGGCCUCUGCAGUGUCUCCAGGAAGACCUGCUGAUGACUCAUACUCCAAUCCACUCAUCAGACCACCGUGCUGCUGGCCUUCUGUGGUCUGGCAAGAGCCAGAACACUUGGAGAAAAACGCAAAUGUGUCUUUAGUACCUACAUAAAGUUUUAUAGAUAUAUGCAAAUAAGACUCAAAGCUGUAGACAAGAAGAGAAAGUUGUUCCAAACCUCAUCAGCUAUGACAAGGAUAACAUCCCUGCCUCUGGGAGCCUGGCAGCACCUUUUCCAUGCUGGCGAGAUUGUGCUCUGGCCUGUGCAGAAGAGGAGGCUACUGGAUAGCAUGAGACUCUGUGGUGAUAGGAGAGAGCACAGGGUGAGUCCAUUUUCACCCAUUUGGGUAACAAAACAAAGAAUCCAAGACACACCUAAGUUGUGCUUUACAGACUUGAACUCAGAGCAGGAUGAGCUUGGAAAUGCCCAGGGUUCCAUGAUAUUGAGCAACGAAUUUUCCAAAAUAUGUAAGAAAAGAAAAAAUGAGGUCUGAUGGGUCCACAAGCACAUCUUUCUGGAGAGUGAACCAGGUGCUAGGUUACACAUCUCUGGGCUGAUUCAAACAACCUGUAGAACAGUUUCACAUGCACCCUCUUCUCCAUUUUUUUCGGCUCUUUCAACCAAACCAUGAGUCAUUUUCCAAUGUGGCAGUCUAUUCCUCUAUGGUUAAGUUAGUUUAGGCAAUUUGUAAACCCAAGUAUGAAGCUUCUGUUGGUCUAGCUUGAGUAGGAACAUUAAUGGAGUGCUAAACCUUUAGACAACUCUUUUGUGAAGGCUGGACAAUAGAUGACUUAACAUUGCCUUUUCAGUGGGGACAUGGAAGGCCAGUGGUGUGAUGAGAUAGUUGAAGACAGAUACAUUGUUCUGGACCAGAGAUCUCAACCACAGCAUUGGGAUCUGCCAAAACCAAUUUAACAGGUGAGAAGCUGUUACUCUUCUCCCACUACCUCACAGAGUCAGGCUCUAAGCGUAAAUGCAGACAACUCUUCUCAUAGGAAUUUAUUCCCAGCAUAUCAAUAAUGAGAUUAUUAUUUAAGAGAGGCUUUAACAUCUUAAGGGCAAAAGAGGACAGUCUGUUACCGGAAAGAAAAUAUUGUUAUCAUAUGAUCAUUCGUGCAUGUCCAGAGGAUGAUACCCAACAGCUUUGUUUUCCAUUUUUCCAUCAAUGCAGAAUCCCUCUCAGAAGCCCUCUCCUCUGGUCUCCCCUCACAGUCUCUGUGCUCUGCUUACCUUUUCUCAGAACCCUGGCUCUCAAUCUGUUGUGCCAUUUAGUUUCACUACCUGUAAAAGUUCUGUAAAAUCUAUAGGGUCCUGUUUGUUUUGGAACUAGCUUUAGGUUCUUCAAAACUCAAACACGUUAAACCUUUGUUUUACUAAUAGUGCCCACUUUUUAUCAUGUAACCGUGAUGGCCUAUGCAGUCCUAUGCAAAUCAAGAUACCUAAUUUUUAAAAAAGGUUUUUGUGUAAGAGAGUGGUGGAGCAGAAAAGAAGGGAGUGACAAUAGUGGAGAAACCCCCAAAACUUGUCUUGUGGUAUUUAAAACUAGGCCAUUACAAUGACUGAAUUCUUACCAUGUUUUUGUUUUCGGAUUUUCAACCAACAGUCUUCUUUCAUUCAUGAUAUCAGCAAAUUAACAAAGCACAGCUAAUGUAAAUAACUCUCACUUUCCAUUUUAAAACAAAGAGGUCAUUCUCUGAUAGCAGAUGCAAAGAUUGUUUUUCUACAUCAGUUUUUGUUUUGUUUUCCAGUCUGCUUUGUCUUUCAGAGGUAGAACCGCCAAAUCUCUGAAACUUAAAUCAACCCAAAGACAAAAGUAUGUUUUGUUUUCUUUCAUUUGUUUUAGUGUGGAUACAUAGUACUUUAAAAGAAACAUCAUAUACAACUCAAUUAAUAUGAAUUCAUAAAGCUGACAUUAAAAAUAGGCCAAUAAUCAUUCUUAAGUGAAACCAUCUUUAUUUUGAAAAUUACCAAACAUUUUCUACUUUUUAGGUUAUUAUUAAUAUACAAAUCUGCCUUUUUUCAGAGUAAUUGAUGAAGGUUAAGACUAAAACAAAUGAACGAAGAAAGAAAAAAAAGAGGCAGGUGAAAAAAGGAUGCAAAUACACGGCCCAUAUAGGCGCACAUUGUUGCAAACAUAUUUAAAUUUGGCUCUUAGCCCCCUGGCAGCAGAAGCAAAAGAGGGGAGACAUGGUCAGUUGCAUAGUUCUCAUUAUUAGAUGAGAAGAAACAUGCUAGUUCCUCAGGGGAAGUGAAUGUAUUUUUUUUGUACUAAUUUCUCAAGGAAAUCAGGCUGGUGGGGCCUCAUAUGGGAAAUGCUGAGUGAUGUCAUACACACUGAACUUAACUGGAGUCCUACAAGCAAGGCUAGAGUCUCAUUCUUAGAAACCAAGAGCACAAUCUUAAAAUGCACUCCAGUUUAGGCAAUUUGUAAACCCAAGUUUGAAGCUUCUAUCAGUCUAGCUUGAGUAGAAGCAUUAACGGAAUGCUUAACUUUUAGACAACUCUUCUGUGAUGGCUCGACAAUAGACAGCUUAAUAUUGCCUUGCAGUAGGGACAAGGAAGCCCAGUGGUGUGAUGAGGUAGUUGAAGGCAGGUAUGUUGUUCUGAACCAGAUAUCUCAACCACAGCAUAGAAUUCUGACAAAACCAAUUUAACAGGUCAGAAGCUGUUACUCUCCUCCCACCGCCCCACACAGUUAGGCUCUGAGCAUGAAUGCAGACAACUUUUCUCACAGGUAGUUAUUCCCAGCAUAUCAACAAAGAAUUGAGUAUUCACCUU